This 2701-nucleotide unclassified non-coding RNA is filed under the name Acyrthosiphon pisum (pea aphid). RNAcentral's name for it is "pre-mRNA-splicing factor CWC22 homolog, transcript variant X2". Lineage: Eukaryota; Metazoa; Arthropoda; Insecta; Hemiptera; Aphididae. The record is from RNAcentral.
GGGGGGGGGGUGUCGCAACGUGUUUUAGAGUUUACAGCUCUGUAUAAACGAACUAAGAUACAAAUUGUGAAGUCUAAUAAAACCACCUUUUCGUGGCCCCACCGACCAUGUCAUUACCAGUCCUAUAUCUUCAGUAUUAUAUUAUCUCAGUCCGUGCUAUGUAUCUAGCUUGAGUUAUCAUUUUCAUGAACAGUGAUAACCAUCAACCCGUUAUAACCAUUAUACCUAAUUAUGAAGAUUAGAGAUCUAACAAUAAUACGACCAACACACAUACGUUAGGUGAACUACUGGACUUGUUAAUUUUUAUUUUCGCGUCUGUCUGCCGUGAGUUGCGUAAUUUCUUUUUAAUUAUUAUUAGUUAUUACUAAACUGACUUCUAGUUUCCCGAUUCACAACUGUUUUUGCGGAUAUUAAAUACGUUAAGCGACGACUGGUGAGUUGUGAUUUACAACGCGACAGGCUACAGUUACUGACGCACAAACAACGCGUAACCUUACCCACAAAUUAUCCUGCCAACGAGUCUGCACUUCGCUAGUUUGUUAUUAUCGGUAGUCUACUAUUGUCGUUCUCAUUGUGUGCCUACGAUUUGUAGUACUUAUAGUUUCAUUUUGUAGUCUUGCACAUUUUCAUUUCGUAUUUGUAAUCGCUAUUCGUUGCUCUUCGCUCUGCAGCCGGCGUGUUUUCAUUUCGAUUAUCGAAGCCGAAGAGCUGUCCCGUACUCACGUUCAUAUACUUAAACAUACCUACAUAGGUAAUCUUGAAUCCAUCAUAGCCACAACAUUUGUUCUGACUGACGGAAAUGGAAUUGUCAUCAAUGGACUCAAGCCUAUCUACUAUUAACGGACAGGAACACGAAGCACCCCAGACCAGAUCCGAUUAUAUAGAUGAUGAGCAAGGAGUUAUAGAUAAAUCAAGAGAUGAUGGUCAGAGAACUGCCUGGUAUAAACUGCACAUCUUAAUUGGCUACUUAGUGUACAAAGUUAAUGCUGUUAAUAUUGGAACUGUGACAAAAAAGUUAUUACAACAUAAUAUGAUAAGAGGUAAACAUAUGUUUUGUCGGUUUAUUAUCUCAGCACAACAUUUUUCGACCACCGAUACACAUGUUUAUGCAACUUUAGUUGCUGUCAUAAAUCUUGUACUUCCAGAGAUAGGAAAAUUAGUCCUGAAAAAAUGCGUCAUACUAUUCCAAAGUACCUUUUUUCGAAAUAAUAUUUUAGAUUGUUCACCUUCUGUAAUGUUUAUUGGACAUUUGAUUAAUCAUGGUGUUGCUGAUGAAAAAUUGGGAAUAGAAAUAUUAAGAAAUCUCCUUGAACAACAUGAUAUAUCCAAUGAUAUAUUCCCUAUUAAAAUAGCUAUUGUACUUUUGAAAAUAUGUGGUAAAAAAAUAAGUGAAGCCCAUAAAGAUCUUUUGACUGAAGUAUUAGAUGAUAUGCUCAUUUUUUUAAAUAAUGAAGAACUUAACGCAGAGGUAAGAAAUGAUGUGAAACUAAUAUUGAUAUUACAAGAAAAUGGAUUCAAAUUUCAACAACUUGAUUUAGUACCAGCUAAUGAGUAUCAAAUCACUCAUUUUCAAACUUUAGAGACAGUUGUAGAUACUGCAUCCGAUAAAAUAAGUUACCAUUAUGAUUCGGAAUUUGAAUUUCAUGAACAAAAGUAUAAGAAUUUGAUAUUAAAAUCUCAAGGAUAUGAUAGUGAAGAAGAAAAUGGAUUGGAAUCUGUAACUGAUUUUAAUAAUCAAUAUGAUGGUGAAAAAGAAUUGAUCAAAGUAAUGAAACAUAUUAAUGACAUAGAAAAAGACACAAACAUGCUAUCAUUAAGAAAGGUGUGUCUAAGAAAGUUGAUAAACUUAACAUACUUGAUGACGGAUUAUACAAAGUUAGUACAACAAAUUGUAAAAUAUUGUCAAGUUAACAUGGACUUAUUUAAUAUGAUCAUUGACUGUUGCUGUGAGCAUUCAACAUAUGAAAAUCAUUUUGGAAAUCUAACGAAAGAGCUUACUGAAACUGAUGCAAGGUUUGCCGAUAUGGUGGAAAUUGCAUUCAUUUACUGCUAUGUAAUUAGUGAUAAGUUUGAUUCACAUAGAACACAAAUUGUUUCUAGUUACUUCGUUCAUUUAUUGGAAUUGGGUUUAAUACCGUCUAAAUUGUUAUCAUUACUGGGAGAAUUAGUUUAUGCUAACACUGACUAUUCUACAAUUUUAUUUCAAAAGCAUAAUGAAUAAUAUGUCGGGGAAAUCCUUAGUGGCAUAUUUUGGAAGGAGUCCCAUAGGUACUUCUAAGUUGGAGGGCCACAGUAAUUUUAUCAUGAUAUUGCAAAAAAAAACUUGGAAAAUCAUUUUUAAGUACCUAUGCUCUGUUCACCCUAAAUUGACCACUUCCACGCAUGUAUACUGGGUCGCCAAAACUUUCAAAUCGCUUGUCUGUGAUUGGUCGGAAGUGUUCGGCGAUCAGUGUUGCUCAUCAUAGUAGGCAGCUGUUGCCGUGCAUACAGCCCACUAGCGCUCUAAAGAAGCGGUGAUAUGCGGGGCCGCAACUUGUUUUCAUCGAGCAAGUGGAUCAACUUACAGUGAACAGAUUUCAGGAAUGAUAUGGAGCUCCAACCCAAAUAUAAGUUUUCAUCUUCAACUACUGAAAUUAUUUACUUAUGAUCCAUUAUCUAUUAUGAGUUAUUAAUAUUUGUUUGAUGUUUAUAAAAAAUGUUU